Molecule: ribosomal RNA, 400 nt
Filed under: uncultured bacterium
Lineage: Bacteria
Description: bacterial SSU rRNA
Rfam family: Bacterial small subunit ribosomal RNA
Source: RNAcentral
UGGGGAAUAUUGGACAAUGGGCGCAAGCCUGAUCCAGCGAUGCCGCGUGUGUGAAGAAGGCCUGCGGGUUGUAAAGCACUUUCGUUGGGAAAGAAAGAGCAGUCACUAAUACUGGCUGCAGUUGACGUUACCCAAAUAAGAAGCACCGGCUAACUCUGUGCCAGCAGCCGCGGUAAUACAGAGGGUGCAAGCGUUAAUCGGAAUUACUGGGCGUAAAGGGUGCGUAGGUGGUUGAGUAAGUUGGAUGUGAAAUGCCUGGGCUUAACCUGGGAUCUGCAUACAAAACUGCUCGGCUAGAGUAAGGUAGAGGGAAGUGGAAUUUCCGGUGUAGCGGUGAAAUGCGUAGAUAUCGGAAGGAACACCAGUGGCGAAGGCGGCUUCCUGGACCAUUACUGACACU